GGGCUCAGUGUGAGUUUGACCUGUGUAGAGAGUAGGUGUAUGUGCGAUCACUUAUGUGUGUAGUGAAGGGGUUAGCUACUAUAGCCCCAACCCAUACCAUGGGAUGAGGGAAGGAAAAUUACCUCUAAGGACUAUACUACAGAAUUUUAUCAACCAUGUGGAUACGUUAGAAGCCAAGAGAACCGAGGGAGAUGAUCAGUACGAACAAGAGUUUCAGGACCUGAAGCUCCUGACAGAGAGCUUGAAAGGUCGACCUGAGUACUGCUGUCUCGAGGGCGAAAAAGAUGUCAACCGACGUAAGAAUCGUUACAAGGACAUCCUUCCAUAUGAUUACACGCGAGUGGUGGUGAGCAGUUUCCCGGGGGUGCCAGGCAGCGACUACAUCAAUGGCAACUACAUCCGGGGGGCCAGCGGGUCCAGGGCAUAUAUUGCCUCACAGGGCCCGCUGCCCCACACCACAGCUGACUUCUGGAGGAUGGUUGUGGAGUGCGAAGUCCAGGUCAUCAUUAUGGCCUCCAACGAGACGGAGGGAGGGAAGCACAAGUGUGAGUGUUAUUGGGUAAACAGUCAGAAUGAGGAGAGGCAGUUUGGGAAUGUCACAGUUUCCUUUGUGAAGGCCAGGCAAGUUUGUCCAGACUUCAUGGUUCGAACACUCAAGAUCAGAUACCCCACAGACUCCGGCAAGACAGAAGAACGAACAAUCUGUCAGUUCCACUAUGUCCUCUGGCCUGAUCAUGGAGUGCCAGAGACUGUCCGACCACUGCUGGACAUGGUGCGGUUGGUGAGAGACUGUCAAGCAUCGGAGACAUUGCCUGUUCUUGUUCAUUGUUCAGCUGGCUGUGGCAGAACAGGAACGAUUUGUGCAAUUGAUUAUGUAUGGGGUCUACUGAGAGCUGGGCGUUUAACAGAAAAUCUGAACCUCUUCGGCCUUGUAAAGGAAAUGCGUAGACAACGUGUUGCCAUGGUGCAAACGAGGGAACAGUACAUUCUCUUGCACAGAGCGGUUCGAGAGCUUUUCAAGGAAAGAUUGAAGGUUAUAGAUGCUCAUCCAUAUGAAAAUAUAGCUACUGAUGGUACACCUCUAAUUUUGAGGGAAAAGGAGAGUGACUAUGAGGAACUAUAUGUAAAACCUGAGAAGCAAGAUGAAAGUGCCAAGCCAACUCCACCAACAACAGCCCCAAGUGCCGUAUCCACACCGACUGGCUCUCUUACUCGAUAUUCAAAUAUACGAGGAAAUAAUGAUUACCUGGCAUCAAGCUCACCAAUAAAUAGCUUGGAGAGGCCAGUGGUGCCUGUUCCACCACUCCCUCUGAAACUCUGCAAGCCGCCCCCCGUUACUUCAUGUCUGUCACCGCACUCUUCGCCUAGCCCCCACAUUUCACCCAUCCCACAGCCAUCACCUGUCCAAAAUCACUGCUCACCUGUCCCUCAGCCAUCGCCUGUAUCACUUCCAACUGCUAACCAGGCUCACCGUAGCUACUCUAUCUCUCCAUCUCUGCCUAUGGUUACAAGCACUCUCCAACCUGUAGUUACUGUCACAAGUUCCAGUUGCUCACCAGGAGGAUCUCAUCUCUUCUCGCAAUUAUUGCCCAACCCUUUCCAAGUCACUCCAUCAAAUAGUAAGGCCGGGAUCCACCCAACAUCAAAACUAGAGAAAGAUGCCGAAAAUGCGGCUCACAAACGGCAAGUUGCACAACCCUCUGGUUCCUCCCCAGCUGGUGGAGUUACACAGAGAACCAUGCAAACUCCUACUGUAUCUGGAAGCCCACAGCCUUUAUCCUCUAGUGCCACAACACCUUUAAAUACACCAAACCAUACUCCUACUCCACUACAUAGCCUGAGUAUGUCACAGUCCACACAUCAUUUGAAUCCAGUCCCUCCAGUGCGAAGUAGAACACCCUCCCCGGGGAUGACCUAUGGGAGAUCCGUAGAAGAAGGAAAGCACAAUGUAGUCCAUAACAACCAGUUAAGUCAAGAGACUAGCACUAAGAGCAGUGAGAUUGUACGUCGACCAAGCAUAGCAGAGCUCAAAGAACUAUUUGAAAAAGCUGGUGAUGCUGAGACUCCUGGAGUGAGACUGUCUCGCAGUGCUAGCAGUGUAACAUCAAGAACUAGCCUGAGUAUUCAUCCAGAUGCAGAUGGAGGCUUUCGCAUUAAAAGAAAGAGUAGUUUAGGGGCUGAAGAAACUCUACAAUCAAAGAAAGCAUAUGAGAUGUUAGAAAGACAACGCCAUCUGAACAUCUGCCCUCCUCCACCAUAUGAGUCUUCAAAGGCUGCAGCUGUAUCAACAGCACCUGUUACUGUUGUAAGUGCUGCCAAACCACCUUCUAGUCCUGUGUACACUAGCCCCUUGUCACGGAGGAGAGCCACCCACAACCUAAAUGACUCCCAAGAUGAUAAUUCUCAUUCAGCUUUGUUGGCAAGAGUAGAUGACAGGCCUGCUUUACCUGUCAAAAAGAGCAAGUCUUUUAGAUAUGCUCGGCCUGUAGACUCUUCCACAAAUACCAUAGCCUCAACAAGAAGUCCAGAAUUAACAAGGAAGAAAGCAGAUAUAAAUACUUAUUUCAGCUUAGAUAGAGGAAAAGGAGACAGCUUUUCACUCAAUAAGUCAGAAAGUGGCAGUGUUAACUUCAUAGGAGAUAUUCCAUCACCAAGAGAAGGUUUCAAAUUAUCAGUCUAUCAGAUGCCCAAUACAUCACAGUCAUCAAAGCCAGGUGUAAGCAGUAAUGAAACUAAAGAUCAAAUUACCCCAGAAGUUAAAUUGGACCAAAAGCCACAGAUACCUCCCAAGAAAAUCAUAGGUGAGCGCUUUCGUAAUGCCCGACCACCAGAUUCUCUAUAUAUUGGUGCACCUCAACCAUAUACCCCGACUACCAUGUUCCAAGGUACAAGCACCCCACAUACUCCACAGUCUGCACCUCCAGUCAUUUCAUCAACUCUUAAUGGUUCACCAUUUUGGAAUCCUAAUCAAGUGGAUAGGUCAAUAUAUGACUGUCCAAAGGAACUACAGGCGGUUUCGGGACUUAACUAUGAUAACAUGCCUUCUACUUCAGUUGCAACUUCCACUGCAAAUAACCAAAAUUUGUAUUCAUCCCAUCCAGCAGAUACCAGAAUACAUACAAGUGGUACUGCUCACACAUCAGCUGCUCUCCCUAAACCAUCUCCAACCACAGAACUUUCUCAAGAGACAUCAAGUGCAAAGGAAUAUGUUAAUGCAAGGGUAGUAAGGAAUCCCAACAUAGACACAAAAGAACCCACAAGAUAUGUUUAUGUUCCUCUGCCAACCAAAAGAGGAUCUCGAGAUAAUAAGGCACCUCAUGAAUAUGCAAACUGCAGUUUGAGUGCACAGUCAGAUUCUAUGGAAGGAGAAGAUCCAACAGAGAUAUAUAUGGACUCACAAGUUGUGAAGAAAGGAGCGCCUGGUAAGUUCCCUGUAUAUGAUGAAGUAAUUCCAACUGCACAGUCAAAGACUGAAAGCACUAUCAACAGGUCUACUUCUAAAGAGAACAUAUCCCUUCCCAUAUCUACUUCAGCAUCACCAGGAUCACAUAGCACUCCAGGCUCAGCUACUACCCCAGGAUCUGCAGACUAUGAGGUAAUGGACUUUGGUGAAACAAGUACUAGUGUUGAUGAGGUGUUUGAAACUGUCAACUAUGAAUUACUUGGUGCUAAAGACAGAAGAAUACACAGAAAUACAGAGAAUAAACAUUCAGCAGAGAAUGUAAAGGACUUUUGCUCUAAAAAGGAUUUAGAUCCAAUUGCUCGUCAGGUAUAUCUAGACUGCCAGGAUUACCUCCUUCAUGGUACCAACAAAUCUCCAGUGCCAUCCCUUAUGCCAAAACCUUCAGAGAAAGAUGCUAAGAAAGUAACAAAACCAACAGAUAUGUCUAAAAGUGUUACUUCAGCUCUAGAUACAAGCAUGGAUGUAGAUGAGGUGAAAAGCAAAGUAAAUGUGGCACCUCAAGGGCUAAGGACCAGAGAGCGUCGAAACAGCUACAGGCAGGCAGUAAAUCCUGUCACACAUAAUGAAACCAAAACUACAGAAGAAAAAACAAGUGGAAAGUCUGAGCCAAACCGAAGCAUCCACAAGUAUGAGACUAUUUGGUUUGAGAAUGGAAAGCACAUGACAAGGAAAAAUAAUCCAAGCCCCAAUAGUCAACAAAAUUUACAUCAACAGGUUUCUAAAUCAGCAAGUGUCCCAGCAGAGAGAGAAGACCUUCCACAACAAAGAGGAAGUUCAAGUGUUUACAUGCAAGUUAAGAACCCAUUGGCUGAAGAUCAUGGGUCCAAUUUUAACCAGCUGUCAAAUAAUAAAGAUUCACUUUUUAAAGAAAAAUUAGAAGAGUUUCAUACACUUGUUAAUAGCAUUGAGUGGGAAAAGCCAGUGAGAAUGAGUGCUGCCUCUCCAAGACUUUUGGAAGAUGAUGCCAACUCUAAGGGAUCUGGAAGUAAUAACAGCACCCUGCAGUCCCAUUCUACAUCAUCAUCCAGAGAUGGUGAACAACAAGAGCCAAUAUAUGUCAAUACUCCACCUCUCUUACCUGUCUCAAGAACUUUGUCAUCCGGUAACAAAGGUCAGCUACCCCCGAAAGCUACCAGAAAUUGUGAUCCAAUUGAGCCAAGAUCACCCCCACCUUUGCGCCAUAGUCGCACUGAAGGAAAAUUUGACAACACAGACUCCAGAACUGGACAACAGUCACCAAUCAUUAAUGCAAAUUCCUUGUAUGGUACCAUAGCAACCUCAACUGUGCGGCUUAAACCACCUGGAAGUAAUUCUUCUUCACCGUCCUUCCAAAACUUUUCUCAAAAUCAGGCAAAGCCACCAUCACCCUAUCAUAGUUUAGUAUCUACAGCCACUCUUCCAUCAAGAACAACAAUAUCUCCAACACCUUACCAUAAUAUACCACCACCCAAAGGCUUUGGUAAUGGAACUUCCCCUGGUAAUUCUCCCAAUCCAAUCCACUCUCUACAGCAGAACCGAGAAAAUCACGAACCAUUGUCGUCUUCACCAUAUUACAAUAUGGCCAUGUUUACCAGUGGCAAGCCCAAUCAAGUACAAAGAAAUAUUCCAAUAUCAACAUCAGGACAAGAUUCAAGUCAGAUGGGCAAAGCUGGCUUUUUACCAUACACUUCACCACCACUAAUCUCAAAUGUUGUGCGUCAGAACUUCACACACAACCAACCUCCCAAAGCCCACAUCAUAGGAGAUAUUGCCAUAGUUGGAGAAGAAUCUGUGCGACUCAGACGUCCUGGGUUAGCACCACAUCCUAGAACUGAUGUUGGAAGUGGGUGCAGUAGCAAUGACUCAAGAGGUUCUGAAGGAGCGCCUAUUGCCCCUCCAAGAAUAAAGAGGAAUUCAACUGCUGGCUUACCCAGACAUAGUGCUAUUGAGCCUUCGUCACACAUCCACAAUGACAGGCGUUGCUCAACUGAUGGUCCUGAAACCUACCGCCAAACGAUGAUAACAGCAAAACAGGAAGGACUGAAGUAUCACUUCUUCUAGUCGUGGUUAAGAUGUCUGGCUGGUGCUGGCUAGCAUAUCCAGCUUCAUCAUUACAACAUGAGUACACCAACUCACUUGUGCCAGCCAGCCAGCCCUAGCUGGCCCCUUGGUGAUGAUGAACCUCCACCAGCAGUGCCAGCCAAAACAGCAGCAGCGUAUCAGUACUCGGAUCCACCACCACCACCUCCCCACAACCACCCACCCAGCCCCCACCACCUACC
Molecule: unclassified non-coding RNA, 5724 nt
Filed under: Penaeus japonicus
Lineage: Eukaryota; Metazoa; Arthropoda; Malacostraca; Decapoda; Penaeidae
Description: uncharacterized LOC122252668, transcript variant X1
Source: RNAcentral